This is a long non-coding RNA of Raphanus sativus (radish), 1099 nucleotides long. RefSeq lists it as uncharacterized. The transcript has 6 exons. The record is from RefSeq and is a predicted model, not a curated record. Lineage: Eukaryota; Viridiplantae; Streptophyta; Magnoliopsida; Brassicales; Brassicaceae.
AGUUUCCUCUCUCCUGGUGAAGCCACGUAGGCAGACAUGUCAUAAACUCGAGUAAGGAGACGGCACCACGUGUCUCAUUUAAUGAAACGCGAAGUUUCGUGAUCCGACUUUCUUAUGGGCUUCGAUUGGGCUUUGUAACGCGUUCUAUUUUGCGGCCCGGCGACCCGGAAGGGGAUAGAAACCAAUACGGAAUGGAGCCCAGCUUUCGUUUUUCUUCGUUUAUCUCCGAUCGGCGGACGACGAUUCAGAUCUAUGUAACGGUAUGCGUUGUUAAUUUUCGUAUUAAUCCUCUUAAUUCGUAAACCCACUACGAGACCUUCGAUUGAGUUGUUCGUCGGCGAAUCGUGUAUAAAUAUGUAACAAUCACUCCUCUGCGAAUUGCAGUAUCCACAUCUCUCUUCGAUUGAGGAUAUAUAAAAAUGGCGAUUCCAUUCCCUCAGAUAAAUCUUUGGAUUAUGGUGCAAAUUUUUACCACAUGUUGGGAUUUGAUGAUGAUAAAAUGAAAGAGCGCAUGAGGCUUUACAUCACGAUCCACAGUGAUCAUGAGGGUGGAAACGUUAGUACUCACACUGGUCACCUGGUCGGUAGUGCACUUUCAGAUACGUAUCUGUCAACCGUUUAGUUGGGCCACUCCAUGGUUUGGCUAACCAGGAAGUUUUGCUUUGGAUCAAAUCAGUUGUUGAGGAAUGUGGAGAAAACAUAUCGAAAGACCAGUUGAAAGAAUAUGUCUGGAAAACAUUAAACAGUGGCAAGUGAAGCCGCAGCUUCGGCCAUUAAUGGUGGCGAAAGGAAAUCUUGGUGGCGGAGGAGGGACGUCAUCACUUGGCGCUGGUGGUGGUGGUGGUCUGGGUUGGUUUGCGUUACGGGCGCCUGCACCUCCUAUCAAGUUCUCCAACGACACCGAGGGGCUAUAAACAGCAUAAUCUGUUAGUGCUCAUAACAAACGUGUCAUUGAUAUAGGGAUUGUGGACCUUCUAAGUAAUAAGCUAUUGAUCGAAAAAAAAUCUCAUGUAAUAGUUGACAUUUCUACAGUCAAAAUUAAACUUUACAUAUUAGGUGUAUAAUUAAUUAAUUAUGGAGAAGUUUAUAUGUUGAUAUA